UUGUCUUUCUUUUAGUUCUGUGUAGUCUUUAUUUACCAUGUAAUGAUUAGUUUGAAUGCUUAUAGUGGUGAUACUUUCCCUAUAAAUUUGUUGGGUAGAUUAUAAUUCCGUUACUUGAUUUAGGACAGUAUAUGGUUCUAUGAUACAGGAUUUAGAGGAACAUAUACGGGAUUUAGUUUUUCAGGUCACACUUGUCCCAUAUUCUGUUACUUUCCCUAUUGAUUUUAGCUUGCAAUUGAGUAAGAUGCAGGUUGGGAAUUCUCCCUUGUGUGUCAGAAUCUGAAGUAUUUGACCAUUUGGGUUCACUUCUAUCAUGUGUUGUAUCCUUCCUCUAUUUUAAGAUUUACUAGGCACAUGCAGGUUAGUUGUUGUUUCAAACAUGUCAAUGAAAGGUAGUAAUGUUAAAAUUGGUUCCCCAAGGGCCAAGGUGGUGAUGAUCACUUUGUGAUUCUUUUCCUACUUGUUCUAAAAAUGAUUCUUCUGGGUGAUGUUGAUUUAGGUUUUUGUGGUCGUGUCAUACACCAAUUACCGUCGAGAUGGGUAAUGGUAUGGGAAUGGGGCUCCAAGGAUGUGAAAAUGGUCUGGAAGACAGAGUUAGCAGCGAUAUGUGUCCUCAAGUAAUUUCUUGCCAAAGGUGAUGUGAAGGUUAGCUACUGUGAUCAAGGAAAUAACAUGUAUCUGUGUGGUUUGUUCCUGCUGUUGAUCGGCCAUUGCUGCGUUUAAGGUAUGUUGUGCCCGGUGCUACUUAAUGCUAUAUAAAACCUAUAGCUGUACAUAGAACGCCUUGAUAUGCAAAUAACCCAGUUAAAAUAAAUGGGUUGCGCCAUCUAGCAUUACAUGACGACAUGCCAAACACUUUGCCACCUAGGAUAGUCUAUAUUUGUAUUUCAUUCAGUUAUCUCAUAUUUCCAGUAAAAAAACUCUUCGCUUUGGGGUUUUGGAAUAAUCUUCAGGAAGUUGGUGACGAGUUAGUAGAACUUAUAGAAAUGUCGCUUUCAUUAGACAAUGACAUGCCAAAGACGCCAUUGCCUAAGGUAGUCUUUGGACUUAAGCUAUCUCAUAUGUACAAUAACAAGAUUUGUCACUUCAGUUUUUAGAAUAAUCAGUUGGUUAAGAAUUAGAGCUAAAGUUACGCUCAUGAGUAGUAUUUGUUGUACAAACAUCCAGUUAAUUCUUGAGAUACAAUAGAGACACUAUAUUAGUACUACUUUAGUCAAAUACAUUGUCCACUGGUUGUUGUAGUGAAAUGUCGCUCUAGCUAUUAAUUUACAGAAUUGUAGAAAAUAGCCCCUACGAAAUUACAAAGAGCGAGAAUAAGGAAGCUGGCAAACUUAGUGCUUCAUGGUAUUUCAGUAGAAAGGAAAUAGAAGAGAAUUCUCCGUCUAAGAGGGAUGGCAUUGAUUUAAAGAAAGAGACUUACCUUCGGAAAUCGUAUUGCACUUAUCUACAAGAUUUGGGGAUGCGGCUCAAAGUGUAAGAUAUUUUAUGUCCUUCUAUGCAUUUAUCGAUACUGUAGCCUGUUGGCUGACUGUCCCUUACUUAUCCAAAACAUUGAGUUCUGCUACUUACCCAACCAGAUGUUAAAUAUUUCAAAAUGCGUCUUUAUAUUGACAUUGUAUCGUAAUUGCUUCUCCUGAUGUGUUUUUGUUUUACACCAGCAUAUAUUUGGUCCAGAGAUAUUCAAUUGUUUGUCUGAUAAGAUAAUAUUUUACUUCUUUAUGGAGCACUCUUAUGGCAAGCACGUUUUUUCUGGAUGAACUGCUGGUUGGUUUUUUUCUCCAUAAAUACGAUAAAUUAUCAUAUCAUAUGAAAUGUCAAGAUAUACUGAAAAUAUGCCCUGUAUGAUGGUGGUCUGGCAUUUUAGAAUUGUUUUGGGCAAUUCAUGUUUGUAUGCAUUUUUUCUUUUGGCCCUUGAAGGCAUCUUUAAUAGUUUGCAAUUCCGAUAGAAAUUGCUGUGCUCGUAUCUUUAGUUUUUAUUACAAUUGGUCGAUCUACAACGAGUGCGUCUGAUUCCAACUCAUCAAGGUGAGCUCCCUCUUUUAUUCUUCUCAGGUAAUGAGGCGUCAGUGUAGGCCCAAUCUUUUUGUUUGUUGCUUUGAAGAGUGUUGUCAUGUUGUGGAAAGGCAACAUGUGCUUGAUAUGUGGAGUUGGUGUUGAGCCUGGCGGUAGUAGACAGGGAAGGCACCCAUCUCACUUGAUCUUGAGAGUUGAUUCAUAUCUUUUUUUCUUGACCUGAUUGAGUUCCUGUAUAUGCAAGGAUAAAGAAGAAGGGGCAUUGUCGUGGUUGUUGCUUAAGGUGUUGGUCAGGAGCUGAUUGCCGGGACUGAUGACAAGAACGGAGAGCAGGAUGAGUAUGUCAACAUGAUGUUCCUUGAUGUUGGCCUUCUUUUAUAAAGUUCACAUGCAACUCUCCUCCAUGGUUAGAAAAAACUAAUUUAAACAUUUUGUUUCUUUGGUGGUUACUCAUUUCUCUUACCAUUGUUGUAUCAAAACAAUUGUAUUUUCGUUGAUGGCCACUUGGGCUCAUUUUUGAGGAGAAUGAGAUGUGGAAUAAACUACUCUGAAAUGGUUGGUUCCCUUCAGACAGUUUACUAGCUAACUAAUUUUGGCUGCUGGUGCA
Molecule: non-coding RNA, 2620 nt
Organism: Triticum urartu
Lineage: Eukaryota; Viridiplantae; Streptophyta; Magnoliopsida; Poales; Poaceae
Source: RefSeq, a predicted model, not a curated record